GGAGUUAGCACGACGAUCGCGCGUGCCAAGCCGCAAGGCGGCGCGUGAGGAAAGUCCGAGCUGCGUAGAGCAGGGUGCUGGAUAACGUCCAGUGAGGGUGACCUUAAGGAAAGUGCCACAGAAAACAAACCGCCGUUUUUCGAAACGGUAAGGCUGAAACAGUGCGGUAAGAGCGCACUAGGGACCAGGUGACUGGCUCUCUUGGUAAACCCCACCCGCAGCAAGACCUAAUAGGGGAAGGAUGAGGUUGCUCGCUGACUUCCCGGGUUGGUCGCUGGAGGCGUCAGGCAACUGACGUCCUAGAUAGAUGAUCGUCCUCGACAGAACUCGGCUUAUCGCUGACUCCGCCU
This 350-nucleotide RNase P RNA is filed under the name Bacillota bacterium. RNAcentral's name for it is "RNase P RNA component class A". It matches the Rfam family "Bacterial RNase P class A". From Rfam's summary of the family: Ribonuclease P (RNase P) is a ubiquitous endoribonuclease, found in archaea, bacteria and eukarya as well as chloroplasts and mitochondria. Its best characterised activity is the generation of mature 5'-ends of tRNAs by cleaving the 5'-leader elements of precursor-tRNAs. Cellular RNase Ps are ribonucleoproteins. The record is from RNAcentral. Lineage: Bacteria; Bacillati; Bacillota.